UACGAAGGGGGCUAGCGUUGCUCGGAAUUACUGGGCGUAAAGCGCACGUAGGCGGUUUCUUAAGUCGGGGGUGAAAUCCUGGAGCUCAACUCCAGGACUGCCUUCGAUACUGGGAAACUUGAGUCCGGGAGAGGUGAGUGGAACUGCGAGUGUAGAGGUGAAAUUCGUAGAUAUUCGCAAGAACACCAGUGGCGAAGGCGGCUCACUGGCCCGGUACUGACGCUGAGGUGCGAAAGCGUGGGGAGCAAACAGG
This 253-nucleotide ribosomal RNA is filed under the name uncultured bacterium. Its description in RNAcentral is "partial 16S ribosomal RNA". It matches the Rfam family "Bacterial small subunit ribosomal RNA", at positions 524 to 776 of the family's 1533-position model. The record is from RNAcentral.